Molecule: long non-coding RNA, 1066 nt
Organism: Bombus huntii
Lineage: Eukaryota; Metazoa; Arthropoda; Insecta; Hymenoptera; Apidae
Exons: 2
Source: RefSeq, a predicted model, not a curated record
UUAUUAUAAAUAUGAAGGAAACACGGUGUAUAAAAUACAGUUCAUUAUUGGUAUACAUACAUGUACAUAUGUAAAUGUAAAUGUGUGCUAUGUACUAUGCAUACUGCUUACAAUUUAGAGCGUUGAUCAUUUUCAAAUCUCGGAUACAAUUUUCUAUGACACUAACAUUUACGAUACAAUACUGAUUUUAAGCGCUUGGAAUCGAUACAAUUUAAUUCGUUAAUAUUAUCAGAAAGGAAAUCUGGUAUUCUGUUCCAGGUUAAUCUUCAUUAAAUAAGAUGAUUAUUAAAAUAUAAAUUUAAAGUGGAAAUCUUUGAUAAUAAUUUAAUUGAAUUGCAAAUAUAAAUUUGCUUUUAUGGAUAUUUUUAUAAAUUAGAAAACGAUACAACUCCUGAAUUCUCAAAUGGUCUCGAUUAUAAAUCAUCUAUGUAAUUACGCAGGCACGUGUAUAUAGGUACAUACAUAUAUGUAUAUAUGUAUUAAAGAAUUUAAACGAGUUUUCAUUUUAAUUAGUUCCUUUAAAUAUCAUGCGAAAUAAAAUGUUAUUAAAUCGUGAAUUGAGUUUAUCGUUAAAAAUAAGUUCGAUUUAACAUCUACAUGUUGAUAUUCCUCACGAAAGUCAUAUAGAGACAACAAAUGUGCGUGUACGUAAUAUCCGGUAAUCAUCAACUCGUAACUAUGGACACCGAAAACUAAAUAAUCUGAUUAUAUACAUACAUGUAUGUAUUUCACGUAGGCUUACGAACGAUCGCAUAUAGUGUACGGGUCCAAUUCGAUGUGGCACAUUUUAUGCAAUUGUACAAUUGAUUGAAAGAAGGGAGAACAUACUAUAUAUAUAUAUAUAUAUACACACACAUAUAUACGCAUAUACAUAUUAUUCUAAAUUCAGGUUGACCAAAUGGAUGGAUAUUUAACGGUUCUCACAAAAGAAGUAUGUAGUCGAAAAGCAACCAGUGUGUGUGUGUGUGUGUGUGUGUGUGUGUGUGUGUGUGUGUGUGUGUGUGUGUGUGUGAAAGAACGAUAACGCAUACGGCAUUUCUAGGCAAUUUGUUUAUAAAAUUAUUAA